GAUGAAGAACGUAGCGAAAUGCGAUAAGUAAUGUGAAUUGCAGAAUUCCGUGAAUCAUCGAAUCUUUGAACGCAUAUUGCGCCCUCUGGCAUUCCGGAGGGCAUGCCUGUCCGAGCGUCAUUACUAUCUUCAAGCACAGCUUGGUUGUUGAGCCCAAUUGUCCUCUAAUGGACAGGCUUGAAAUGCAGCGGCGAUGCCAUGUUUGGUGCCCGAGUGUAUGGGGCUUUGUCACACACUUUUGUGGCCCAGCUGGCGUUGUCUUUUAAAGUACUUAAUACCUAAGAUUUGACCUCGGAUCAGGUAGGGAUACCCGCUGAACUUAAGCAUAUCAAUAAGCGGAGGA
This 343-nucleotide unclassified non-coding RNA is filed under the name soil metagenome. Its description in RNAcentral is "partial contains 5.8S ribosomal RNA, internal transcribed spacer 2, and large subunit ribosomal RNA". The stretch from base 1 to 120 matches the Rfam family "5.8S ribosomal RNA", at positions 35 to 154 of the family's 154-position model. The record is from RNAcentral.